This 398-nucleotide transfer-messenger RNA is filed under the name Puniceicoccales bacterium. It matches the Rfam family "transfer-messenger RNA". From Rfam's summary of the family: Bacterial tmRNA, also known as 10Sa RNA or SsrA, is named for its dual tRNA and mRNA-like properties. Lineage: Bacteria; Pseudomonadati; Verrucomicrobiota; Opitutia; Puniceicoccales. The record is from RNAcentral.
GGGGGCGUAUGGAUUCGAUCCCGCGAAGCAGAACGGCGCCGCGUGCCGGAGAUGGAUGGUUUGCUCCGUUAUCAAUCUGUCCAAAUGUCGUAACUGGCAAAAACAAAAUCAUUAGGGGUCUCAGGUUCGGUUCUUCGGAGCCGGUCCGCGCGGCUGCCUAAUCCUUGCCGCUUUCGAUAGCGGCACGUCGCGGGGAUUGACUGUCCGCUAGGUCCUCGCGGCGAACAACAGCGGACGGGGCCGUAGGCUGUGCGUGUCUGCGGUCGCAUUUCACGCACUCGCUCCUGCGAUCUUGCCGCGGCAGGCCGUGCGGGGCUAAAUAAAAGCCGCGGCUACGCACGUAGAAGUACCGUUUGAGAGCGCGGGAGACGCGGGUUCGACUCCCGCCGCCUCCACCA